GAUGAACGCUGGCGGCGUGCCUAAUACAUGCAAGUCGAGCGAACAGACGAGGAGCUUGCUCCUCUGACGUUAGCGGCGGACGGGUGAGUAACACGUGGAUAACCUACCUAUAAGACUGGGAUAACUUCGGGAAACCGGAGCUAAUACCGGAUAAUAUAUUGAACCGCAUGGUUCAAUAGUGAAAGACGGUUUUGCUGUCACUUAUAGAUGGAUCCGCGCCGCAUUAGCUAGUUGGUAAGGUAACGGCUUACCAAGGCAACGAUGCGUAGCCGACCUGAGAGGGUGAUAGGCCACACGGGAACUGAGACACGGUCCAGACUCCUAAGGGAGGCAGCAGUAGGGAAUCUUCCGCAAUGGGCGAAAGCUUGACGGAGCAACGCCGCGUGAGUGAUGAAGGUCUUCGGAUCGUAAAACUCUGUUAUUAGGGAAGAACAAAUGUGUAAGUAACUAUGCACGUCUUGACGGUACCUAAUCAGAAAGCCACGGCUAACUACGUG
Molecule: ribosomal RNA, 497 nt
Filed under: uncultured bacterium
Lineage: Bacteria
Description: partial 16S ribosomal RNA
Rfam family: Bacterial small subunit ribosomal RNA
Source: RNAcentral